Molecule: ribosomal RNA, 185 nt
Filed under: uncultured fungus
Lineage: Eukaryota; Fungi
Description: partial small subunit ribosomal RNA
Rfam family: Eukaryotic small subunit ribosomal RNA
Source: RNAcentral
CGCACCCGAGAUGGCUUUACUUUUAGGAGUAGGGUCUUAUUGGGACGUUUUUACAUUGGCUCGCGCCAGUGUUGUUUACCUUGAAAAAAUCAGAGUGUUCAAAGCAGGCAUUUGCUUGAAUACAUUAGCAUGGAAUAAUAGAAUAGGACUAUGGUUCUGUUUUGUUGGUUUUCAGGACCAGAGUA